AUUGAACGCUGGCGGCAUGCCUUACACAUGCAAGUCGAACGGUAACAGGUCUUCGGAUGCUGACGAGUGGCGAACGGGUGAGUAAUACAUCGGAACGUGCCUAGUAGUGGGGGAUAACUACUCGAAAGAGUGGCUAAUACCGCAUGAGAUCUACGGAUGAAAGCAGGGGAUCGCAAGACCUUGUGCUACUAGAGCGGCCGAUGGCAGAUUAGGUAGUUGGUGGGAUAAAAGCUUACCAAGCCGACGAUCUGUAGCUGGUCUGAGAGGACGAUCAGCCACAGUGGGACUGAGACACGGCCCAGACUCCUACGGGAGGCAGCAGUGGGGAAUUUUGGACAAUGGGCGAAAGCCUGAUCCAGCAAUGCCGCGUGCAGGAUGAAGGCCUUCGGGUUGUAAACUGCUUUUGUACGGAGCGAAAAGCCCCGGGUUAAUACCCUGGGGUCAUGACGGUGCCGUAAGAAUAAGCACCGGCUAACUACGUGCCAGCCGCCGCAGUAA
RNAcentral lists this ribosomal RNA (498 nucleotides) under uncultured bacterium. RNAcentral's name for it is "partial 16S ribosomal RNA". It matches the Rfam family "Bacterial small subunit ribosomal RNA", at positions 30 to 523 of the family's 1533-position model. The record is from RNAcentral.